CAAUAGCGUAUAUUAAAGUUGUUGCAGUUAAAAAGCUCGUAGUUGGAUUUCUGGUUGAAGCGACCGGUCGGGCGUUGAUUCGUCUGCACUGGAGUCGGUUUUGGCCAUCCUCUAGGAAAGUGCGUCUGGUAUUAAGUUAUCGGGCGUAUGAUCCUGGUCUCUUACUGUGAAAAAAUUAGAGUGUUUAAAGCAGGCCUUCGCCUUGAAUACAUUAGCAUGGAAUAAUAAGAUAGGACUUUGGUCUAUUUUGUUGGUUUGCAGACCGAAGUAAUGAUUAAUAGGGAUAGUUGGGGGUAUUUAUAUUCCGAUGUCAGAGGUGAAAUUCUUAGAUUUUCGGAAGAUAAACUUAUGCGAAAGCAUUUACCAAGGAUGUUUUCAUUAA
RNAcentral lists this ribosomal RNA (382 nucleotides) under uncultured eukaryote. Its description in RNAcentral is "partial 18S ribosomal RNA". It matches the Rfam family "Eukaryotic small subunit ribosomal RNA", at positions 592 to 976 of the family's 1831-position model. The record is from RNAcentral.